GAAAUGCGAUUAGUAAUGUGAAUUGCAGAAUUCAGUGAAUCAUCGAAUCUUUGAACGCACAUUGCGCCCAUUAGUAUUCUAAUGGGCAUGCCUGUUCGAGCGUCAUUUCAACCCUCAAGCCUUAGUUGCUUGGUGUUGGGAGCUUAUCCUGCCGCAAGGCGGGACAACUCCUUAAAUUUAUUGGCGGAGUCGCGGUGACCCCAAGCGCAGUAAUUCCUUUUCUCGCUUUAGGUGUUAACGCUGGCUUCUAGCCAUUAAACCCCCUAAUUUUCUAAUGGUUGACCUCGGAUCAGGUAGGACUACCCGCUGAACUUAAGC
This 318-nucleotide unclassified non-coding RNA is filed under the name plant metagenome. RNAcentral's name for it is "partial contains 5.8S ribosomal RNA, internal transcribed spacer 2, and large subunit ribosomal RNA". The stretch from base 1 to 105 matches the Rfam family "5.8S ribosomal RNA", at positions 50 to 154 of the family's 154-position model. The record is from RNAcentral.